UACGGGAGGCAGCAGUGGGGAAUAUUGCACAAUGGGCGCAAGCCUGAUGCAGCCAUGCCGCGUGUAUGAAAAAGGCCUUCGGGUUGUAAAGUACUUUCAGUCGUGAGGAAGGUGUUAAGGUUAAUAACCUUAGCAAUUGACGUUAGCGACAGAAGAAGCACCGGCUAACUCCGUGCCAGCAGCCGCGGUAAUACGGAGGGUGCGAGCGUUAAUCGGAAUUACUGGGCGUAAAGGGCACGCAGGCGGUUAAUUAAGUUGGAUGUGAAAUCCCCGGGCUUAACCUGGGAAUGGCAUUCAAGACUGGUUAGCUAGAGUCUUGUAGAGGGGGUUAGAAUUCCAUGUGUAGCGGUGAAAUGCGUAGAGAUGUGGAGGAAUACCGGUGGCGAAGGCGGCCCCUGGGACAAAGACUGACGCUCAUGUGCGAAAGCGUGGGGAGCAAACAGGGAUUAGAUACC
RNAcentral lists this ribosomal RNA (455 nucleotides) under uncultured bacterium. Its description in RNAcentral is "bacterial SSU rRNA". It matches the Rfam family "Bacterial small subunit ribosomal RNA", at positions 340 to 786 of the family's 1533-position model. The record is from RNAcentral.